RNAcentral lists this ribosomal RNA (380 nucleotides) under uncultured bacterium. RNAcentral describes it as "bacterial SSU rRNA". It matches the Rfam family "Bacterial small subunit ribosomal RNA", at positions 32 to 391 of the family's 1533-position model. The record is from RNAcentral.
AAUCAACGCUGGCGGCGUGCCUAACACAUGCAAGUCGAACGCGAAAGCCCCUUCGGGGGUAAGUAGAGUGGCGUCCGGGUGAGUAACACGUAGGUAAUUUGCCUUCGGGUGGGGAAGUAACCAGUCGAAAGAUUGGCUAAUACCGCAUAAUGCAGCGGCACCUAAUGGUGAUUAGUUGUUAAAGCGGGGGAUCGUAAGACCUCGCGCCUGAAGAGGAGCCUGCGGCAGAUUAGCUAGUUGGUGAGGUAAUGGCUCACCAAGGCUUCGAUCUGUAGCUGGUCUGAGAGGACGGCCAGCCACACUGGCACUGACACACGGGCCAGACUCCUACGGGAGGCAGCAGUGGGGAAUUUUGGGCAAUGGGCGAAAGCCUGACCCGA